AGAUGAGCAUGCGUUCUAUUAGCUAGUAGGUGAGGUAACGGCUCACCUAGGCUACGAUAGAUAGGGGCCCUGAGAGGGGGAUCCCCCACACUGGUACUGAGACACGGACCAGACUCCUACGGGAGGCAGCAGUGAGGAAUAUUGGACAAUGGAGGCAACUCUGAUCCAGCCAUGCCGCGUGCAGGAUGACUGCCCUAUGGGUUGUAAACUGCUUUUAUAUAGGAAGAAACACUCCCACGUGUGGGGGCUUGACGGUACUAUAUGAAUAAGGAUCGGCUAACUCCGUGCCAGCAGCCGCGGUAAUACGGAGGAUCCAAGCGUUAUCCGGAAUCAUUGGGUUUAAAGGGUCCGCAGGCGGCCUGUUAAGUCAGAGGUGAAAUCCUACAGCUCAACUGUAGAACUGCCUUUGAUACUGAUAGGCUUGAGUUAUUGUGAAGUGGUUAGAAUGUGUGGUGUAGCGGUGAAAUGCUUAGAUAUCACACAGAAUACCCAUUGCGAAGGCAGAUCACUAACAAUAUACUGACGCUCAUGGACGAAAGCGUGGGGAGCGAACGGGAUUAGAUACCCCGGUAGUCCACGCCGUAAACGAUGGAUACUAACUGUUCGUCCCGCCUGCGGGAUGAGUGUCAAGCGAAAGUGAUAA
This 643-nucleotide ribosomal RNA is filed under the name uncultured Bacteroidota bacterium. RNAcentral describes it as "bacterial SSU rRNA". It matches the Rfam family "Bacterial small subunit ribosomal RNA", at positions 223 to 863 of the family's 1533-position model. The record is from RNAcentral. Lineage: Bacteria; Pseudomonadati; Bacteroidota.